This 771-nucleotide non-coding RNA is filed under the name Ictinogomphus sp. MT-2014. The record is from RNAcentral. Lineage: Eukaryota; Metazoa; Arthropoda; Insecta; Odonata; Gomphidae.
UAAAAGUUUUAUUCUUGCUUGUUUUAUUUACUCUAUGUUUAUUUUACAUGCGUAGACUUAUAUUUAUUUCAUUCUAAAAGAAGAUAUUUAUAGUUGCAGUAAUACAUAUUAUUUUUUAAUUUUUGUUAGAGAUAGUAAUACAUAUAUUUCUGGUUAAAUUCGUGCCAGCCGCCGCGGUUAUACGAGAGGAGAAAGUAAAUAUUAUUAGCUAAUUUGCAGUUAAAAAUUUUUUUUAUUAGUUUAAUUAUUUAUAGGUGAAAUUUUAAAUUUUUUUAUAAAUAUAUUUUUUGAAGCUGUGAAAUUCAUAUUAAAAACAAGGAUUAGAUACCCUUUUAUUUUGAAUGUAAAUUUUGGCUUGGGUAGUAGUAGUUAUGUUCUUGAAACCCAAAGAAUUUGGCGGUACUUUAGUCCUUUCAGAGGAACCUGUCCCGUAAUCGAUAAUCCACGAGAAGGAACUACUUGUUUUUGUUUUCAGUUUGUAUACCUCCGUCAUCAGAGAAUCUUUUUAGAGUUAAUAAUUUUCUUGAGAUAGUGAAUGUAGGAUGUCAGGUCAAGGUGCAGCUUAUGAACAAGUGGAGAUGGGUUACAAUAAUAAUAUUUAGACGGAAUAGAUGAUUUAUUAUUCUAUGAAGGUGGAUUUGAUAGUAAUAUUAAUUUUUUAUUAGUAUGAUUGUAGGCUCUAAAGUAUGUACACAUCGCCCGUCGCUCUCAUUAUUAAAAUGAGAUAAGUCGUAACAUAGUAGGCGUAUCGGAAGAUGUGCCUAGUUAGUA